This 253-nucleotide ribosomal RNA is filed under the name uncultured bacterium. RNAcentral describes it as "partial 16S ribosomal RNA". It matches the Rfam family "Bacterial small subunit ribosomal RNA", at positions 524 to 776 of the family's 1533-position model. The record is from RNAcentral.
UACGGAGGGUACAAGCGUUAAUCGGAAUUACUGGGCGUAAAGCGAGUGCAGGCGGCUACGUCAGUCGGAUGUGAAAGCCCCGGGCUUAACCUGGGAAUUGCAUUCGAUACUGCGUGGCUAGAGUCUGGUAGAGGGAAGUGGAAUUCCAGGUGUAGCGGUGAAAUGCGUAGAUAUCUGGAGGAACAUCAGUGGCGAAGGCGGCUUCCUGGACCAAGACUGACGCUCAGGCUCGAAAGCGUGGGUAGCAAACAGG